GGUUAAUGCAGGACUGGCCGAGCAGAGUCAGAGGUCUCACUAUACCUGAGAAUGACAACGAGACGAAGCAAUGUUCAAGUGGGUUUGCACAAAUGUUCCUAGUUCCUGUAUCUACGAGUUCUUCUCUCGUGGGGAUUGUGUCACCAUCCUGCAUACACAGGAUCCGCAUCACACGGGACUCCAUACGCAUGAUGAGUGGGACGGUCUUUCCCCAGAAGCGGGGCACGAGAGAGAGAUAAUUCGCUGUCUGUAUCUCUUCUCCUUCGAAAAACCACCAGGACAAUGAAUAGAAGAAUCACUGAAAAGAUCAGAGUGAGAAAAGAGCUAUGGUGAUGGGGGCAAGCUCGCAUAUGUCUCCAGCCUUCCUGAAGAAAGUUUCCAUGCAAUAACCAGGAGCAGUGCUGCCCUCAGGGCAAAACGCAUCACUGGGGCACUGGAUUGGAUCCACA
Molecule: long non-coding RNA, 449 nt
Organism: Silurus meridionalis
Lineage: Eukaryota; Metazoa; Chordata; Actinopteri; Siluriformes; Siluridae
Exons: 3
Source: RefSeq, a predicted model, not a curated record